AACGAACGCUGGCGGCAUGCUUAACACAUGCAAGUCGAACGAAGCUUCAAGCUUGCUUGAAGACUGAGUGGCAGACGGGUGAGUAACGCGUGGGAAUCUACCUUAGUGUGGGGGACAACAGUUGGAAACGACUGCUAAUACCGCAUACGCUCUUCGGAGGAAAGGCUUCGGCCGCACUUAGAUGAGCCCGCGUUAGAUUAGCUAGUUGGUGGGGUAAAGGCCUACCAAGGCAACGAUCUAUAGCUGGUCUGAGAGGAUGAUCAGCCACACUGGGACUGAGACACGGCCCAG
Molecule: ribosomal RNA, 291 nt
Filed under: uncultured bacterium
Lineage: Bacteria
Description: partial 16S ribosomal RNA
Rfam family: Bacterial small subunit ribosomal RNA
Source: RNAcentral